CACGUAGGGGGCGAGCGUUGUCCGGAUUUAUUGGGCGUAAAGGGCUCGUAGGCGGCUCAGUAAGUCGGGUGUGAAACCUCCAGGCUCAACCUGGAGACGCCACUCGAUACUGCUGUGGCUAGAGUCCGGUAGGGGAGCAUGGAAUUCCUGGUGUAGCGGUGAAAUGCGCAGAUAUCAGGGGGAACACCAGUGGCGAAGGCGGUGCUCUGGGCCGGAACUGACGCUGAUGAGCGAAAGCGUGGGGAGCAAACAGG
RNAcentral lists this ribosomal RNA (254 nucleotides) under uncultured bacterium. RNAcentral's name for it is "partial 16S ribosomal RNA". It matches the Rfam family "Bacterial small subunit ribosomal RNA", at positions 524 to 776 of the family's 1533-position model. The record is from RNAcentral.